This 1346-nucleotide ribosomal RNA is filed under the name uncultured bacterium. Its description in RNAcentral is "partial 16S ribosomal RNA". It matches the Rfam family "Bacterial small subunit ribosomal RNA", at positions 28 to 1381 of the family's 1533-position model. The record is from RNAcentral.
GACGAACGCUGGCGGCGUGCUUAACACAUGCAAGUCGAACGGAAAGGCCCUGCUUUUGUGGGGUGCUCGAGUGGCGAACGGGUGAGUAACACGUGAGUAACCUGCCCUUGACUUUGGGAUAACUUCAGGAAACUGGGGCUAAUACCGGAUAGGAGCUCCUGCUGCAUGGUGGGGGUUGGAAAGUUUCGGCGGUUGGGGAUGGACUCGCGGCUUAUCAGCUUGUUGGUGGGGUAGUGGCUUACCAAGGCUUCGACGGGUAGCCGGCCUGAGAGGGUGACCGGCCACAUUGGGACUGAGAUACGGCCCAGACUCCUACGGGAGGCAGCAGUGGGGAAUAUUGCACAAUGGGCGGAAGCCUGAUGCAGCAACGCCGCGUGCGGGAUGACGGCCUUCGGGUUGUAAACCGCUUUCGCCUGUGACGAGGCGUGAGUGACGGUAAUGGGUAAAGAAGCACCGGCUAACUACGUGCCAGCAGCCGCGGUGAUACGUAGGGUGCGAGCGUUGUCCGGAUUUAUUGGGCGUAAAGGGCUCGUAGGUGGUUGAUCGCGUCGGAAGUGUAAUCUUGGGGCUUAACCCUGAGCGUGCUUUCGAUACGGGUUGACUUGAGGAAGGUAGGGGAGAAUGGAAUUCCUAGUGGAGCGGUGGAAUGCGCAGAUAUCAGGAGGAACACCAGUGGCGAAGGCGGUUCUCUGGGCCUUUCCUGACGCUGAGGAGCGAAAGCGUGGGGAGCGAACAGGCUUAGAUACCCUGGUAGUCCACGCUGUAAACGGUGGGUACUAGGUGUGGGGUCCAUUCCACGGGUUCCGUGCCGUAGCUAACGCUUUAAGUACCCCGCCUGGGGAGUACGGCCGCAAGGCUAAAACUCAAAGGAAUUGACGGGGCCCCGCACAAGCGGCGGAGCAUGCGGAUUAAUUCGAUGCAACGCGUAGAACCUUACCUGGGUUUGACAUGGAUCGGGAGUGCUCAGAGAUGGGUGUGCCUCUUUUGGGGUCGGUUCACAGGUGGUGCAUGGCUGUCGUCAGCUCGUGUCGUGAGAUGUUGGGUUAAGUCCCGCAACGAGCGCAACCCUUGUUCACUGUUGCCAGCACGUUAUGGUGGGGACUCAGUGGAGACCGCCGGGGUCAACUCGGAGGAAGGUGGGGAUGACGUCAAGUCAUCAUGCCCCUUAUGUCCAGGGCUUCACGCAUGCUACAAUGGCUGGUACAGAGAGUGGCGAGCCUGUGAGGGUGAGCGAAUCUCGGAAAGCCGGUCUCAGUUCGGAUUGGGGUCUGCAACUCGACCUCAUGAAGUCGGAGUCGCUAGUAAUCGCAGAUCAGCAACGCUGCGGUGAAUACGUUCCCGGGGCU